RNAcentral lists this ribosomal RNA (373 nucleotides) under uncultured organism. Its description in RNAcentral is "partial 16S ribosomal RNA". It matches the Rfam family "Bacterial small subunit ribosomal RNA", at positions 527 to 896 of the family's 1533-position model. The record is from RNAcentral.
GUAGGUGGCAAGCGUUGUCCGGAAUUAUUGGGCGUAAAGCGCGCGCAGGCGGUUCUUUAAGUCUGAUGUGAAAGCCCACGGCUCAACCGUGGAGGGUCAUUGGAAACUGGAGAACUUGAGUACAGAAGAGGAAAGCGGAAUUCCACGUGUAGCGGUGAAAUGCGUAGAGAUGUGGAGGAACACCAGUGGCGAAGGCGGCUUUCUGGUCUGUAACUGACGCUGAGGCGCGAAAGCGUGGGGAGGAAACAGGGAUUAGAUACCCUGGUAGUCCACGCCGUAAACGAUGAGUGCUAAGUGUUAGGGGGUUUCCGCCCCCUUAGUGCUGCGGCUAACGCAUUAAGCACUCCGCCUGGGGAGUACGGCCGCAAGGCUG